CCUCGGCUUCCCUCUGCUUCUGUGAGCGAACAAUGGGGGGUGUUUGCCCCGGACACGCUUCAGAGGUAGUCAAAACACUUGAGAACGUCCCUUUGAGGUUUGCUGAGCGGAGAGGUUCGAUCUUGGGGGGCAGAUAAGGAGCUUAUAAGGACCCCCCCCGAUGCUCCUUCGACUGGGUUGUGUGGCUGUAUGUUGUGUCUCCACGAAGGACACCCGUAUCCUUUUUUUUCCUUUUUAGAUUUGUUACUUUGGGUUCAAACAACGAGUUGCGGUCCGGAAGUCGGCGCCUGUCCGUCGUUAUUUCUGUCAUCGGCGUCUCUUUGCCAAACGCCGCUUGUUUGAUCAGCUCUUCCUUCCCAUCGGGCCUCCGGCUUUCCAGCUGUCGGGGAGGAAGACCAGCGGAGUUUAUUUUGACGUAGAUGUGAUUCAUCGAGACGAGGUCCGAAAUCCUCGACCUGAACCACACGCAGAAGCUCUGCAGAGGGGAGCGGCUUCAUGCCGCUGCUUUCCAACAGAAACCUUCUUCCCUUUCAAGCACCAGAUCUGAAAUGCUUGUUUUAGUUGUGUUUGGGUAAAACGUAUUGUGCACGUUGGAUUCACUCCUUAGCGAUGCUGCCCAAAAGAACAAAAGGCCGGAUUAACUGCUUCUGUUUUCAGAGCGCGGUUCAGGUGGUUCUCCUCCAGGCUGUUGUGCUUGGCCAGCGGCACCGGUCGGGUCUGAGACUCCAGGAAGCCGCUCCCUGCCGUCCAGUCUCUGCUUGUGUGCUGCUUCCUCUGCAAACAUGCCUGUUGAUGUGAGAAGUCACAGGAGGUCUGACGGAAGAGACCAACAAACACACACACACGGCAUGUUUCGCCUGGAUGGAUCACGCCAGCGGUCCGAUUGGAGGUUUCGGUCUCGUGGCUCCUCUUCUGAACACAGAACCCAGUGUUCGUCUUGUGUUUCCCUCCGCGUGGUCCCACCUCUCCUGCAGCCCUCUCUCAACCUUUAACCCCCACCCAGGCACAGCUCGAUUGUGCUGAUGUCAUGAUAUCCGUGCACCGCUUUAACUACGUCAGCCUCUGACUCAGACGACGACAGCUGUGCGCGUGACUGAACAUCUGCAUCGGGCGUCGCGUGUCUCACGGAAGGACUUUGACACUCGUACCUGUUAAUUAACGCGCAAAGACGAGACGUUGCACACGCAGAGCAGGUGAUGCCGUCAGCCACACUUUGUCACCAGGGCGAUCACCUCCGGAUGGCGGAGGAAUCCCAUCCUGAAUCACAAAGUUAUGCUAAGCUAAUGCUGCUCUCAAGAGCCAGGUUGGAAUUUAUUUAAUAGCCACAUGCAAAUUGAGGUAAUAGUCGUAUUUACGGCUAAAAAGUGCUCUUCAAAGAACAAACUUUGAGAAGUUUGAAUCCUGAUAUUUUGCUAAAAGUCUGUUGCAUAAAGCGGCCGCGGCACCAUGACGCCUUUCUGCGUGUAGAGAGUCUGUUCAUCUCUGCAGAAGCACGACGCUCUGACCUGCAUCGGUUCCAUUUCCCACACUGGCUGGAAGUAAAAGGUCGUGACCUGUGGUAUUUUUACUCGCGGCCCCUCACCGUUAUCGUGGGGCCCUAUUUCAGGCUCCUUAUAAAUCCUGUUGAUCCGACACACCUUCAGGAGCACAAAUCCACCGCCCCGCUCCCCGUGUCCGCAGUCACAUUAUCUGUUCAUUGUUUUUGGAUUCAACACUUUCAUCAAACGCUGAUUGUUUCCAAACUAAAAAACGUUUUUUCUUUUAUUAGGGAAGCCAAAUUAAGAGUAAUUGUUUUUAUUAUUCAUUACAUUGUUUUUCUUUUUAAUUAGUCUACAUGAUUGUUUAAUAGUCAAUUGAUAAUUUUCUUAUUUAGUAGCAAUGUUUUGGUUUAAAUGUUUUGUAUUCAUUUGUACAUUGGAAUUAUUUUAAUAGCUUUCAAAAUCCUUUCCAAUUUAGAUCAACAAAUAAAGAUUAUUAUUGAUGGACACAUUUGGGCAAAAACCGAAAACUUCUCAACAUUUUGACUUGGUAACAGAAAAGAAAAUACGCGCAGUAGCAAACUGAUCUGAUUUCCUUUUUGUUUGUUCGUUAAAUUAUAAUAUUCACCUCAGUUGUUAAAGCUAAAAUAUAGUGUGUAUAUAUAUAUAUAUAUAUAUAUAUAUAUAUUAUAUAUAUACUAACCAUCUACUUCUUAGAUAUCCAUCAAGUCAUAUUGUCUCUAUUAUUUAAAAAACAUCUGCAUUAGUUGUUUGCUCUGUAAACACGCGUUUGUCCUCCAGAUGGGAUCUACUGUCCUCGUCAUCGGACCAACCGGCUGCCGUGAGUUUGUUUUCCUCUGAAUCCCACAGGCGUGUUUGUUGUGUUUGUCCACCAUAAAGUGACGUCUGUCUGCCGAGUGGAAGACGACACCUUAUCAAGCUGUAGGGAAAUUACCCCCCCCCCAUAAAACAGUUGUUUUAUUUCAGAUGUUAGAGAACAACUGGACUGUUUCUGAGGUGGAGGUGAUGUCUUCAUGUAGUUAGAAUGCUUUAAAGUGCACAGACACGCCAUUUCUGUCAGGUUUUAAUUGUAUGUGGAUUAUUUUUCAUGCCCCGUUGUUUGUUUAGUCAAAUGUGUCGUUGCCUUUAAUCCUAUUCCUUUGCAUGCUCUUCGUGGGGUGUUGGCAGACUUUCAGUGCGGCUGCCUCUCAAAGGCUCAUUUUGACUUCUCGGCCUGAUGUCACAUCUUCUUCUUUGGUGUUUAAUGAUACUGUUACAAAUCCACAGGCACAUCAACUUUGAAUUUGGCUACGACUAAAAUAAAAACACUAUAGUCCCUUAAAAACGUG
Molecule: long non-coding RNA, 2827 nt
Organism: Gasterosteus aculeatus aculeatus (three-spined stickleback)
Lineage: Eukaryota; Metazoa; Chordata; Actinopteri; Perciformes; Gasterosteidae
Source: Ensembl